AUUUGCAUAUUUGUCUAUUAUUAGGUAGGAUUGGAAUGAUACAGAGAUUAGCAUGGCCCCUGCGCAAGGAUGAUACGCAAAUUCGUGAAGCGUUCCAUAUUUUU
Eptesicus fuscus (big brown bat) is the source of this 104-nucleotide small nuclear RNA. The record is from RefSeq and is a predicted model, not a curated record. NCBI's taxonomy places the organism in Eukaryota, Metazoa, Chordata, Mammalia, Chiroptera, Vespertilionidae.